CCUAGAAAAAGAAAGAAAAUCCGGUAUUAUCCAUAAAGAUGGUUAUUAAAAAUUUUA
RNAcentral lists this transfer RNA (57 nucleotides) under Bigelowiella longifila. RNAcentral's name for it is "partial tRNA". Lineage: Eukaryota; Cercozoa; Chlorarachniophyceae. The record is from RNAcentral.